GACGAACGCUGGCGGCGUGCUUAACACAUGCAAGUCGAGCGGGAAACUUCGGUUUCCAGCGGCGGACGGGUGAGUAACACGUGGGCAACCUGCCUCACAAUGAGGGAUAGCCCUCCGAAAGGAGGAUUAAUACCUCAUAACACAAGAGAAACGCAUGUUUCUCUUGCCAAAGAAUUUCGUUGUGAGAUGGGCCCGCGGCGCAUUAGCUUGUUGGUGAGGUAACGGCUCACCAAGGCUUCGAUGCGUAGCCGACCUGAGAGGGUGAUCGGCCACAUUGGAACGGAGACACGGUCCAGACUCCUACGGGAGGCAGCAGUGGGGAAUAUUGCACAAUGGAGGAAACUCUGAUGCAGCAACGCCGCGUGAGUGAUGAAGGUCUUCGGAUUGUAAAGCUCUGUCUUCUGGGACGAUAAUGACGGUACCAGAGGAGGAAGCCACGGCUAACUACGUGCCAGCCGCCGCCGUAA
RNAcentral lists this ribosomal RNA (467 nucleotides) under uncultured bacterium. Its description in RNAcentral is "partial 16S ribosomal RNA". It matches the Rfam family "Bacterial small subunit ribosomal RNA", at positions 28 to 523 of the family's 1533-position model. The record is from RNAcentral.